ACCGCAUGGUCAAGUGUGAAAAACUCCGGUGGUACAGGAUGGCUCCGCGUUGGAUUAGCCGGUUGCGGGUAACGGCCCACCAAAGCAACGAUCCAUAGCCGGCCUGAGAGGGUGAACGGCCACAUUGGGACUGAGACACGGCCCCAGACUCCUACGGGAGGCAGCAGUGGGGAAUAUUGCACAAUGGGGGAAACCCUGAUGCAGCGACGCCGCGUGAAGGAUGAAGUAUUUCGGUAUGUAAACUUCUAUCAGCAGGGAAGAGAUUGACGGUACCUGACUAAGAAGCCCCGGCUAACUACGUGCC
RNAcentral lists this ribosomal RNA (304 nucleotides) under uncultured bacterium. RNAcentral describes it as "bacterial SSU rRNA". It matches the Rfam family "Bacterial small subunit ribosomal RNA", at positions 185 to 509 of the family's 1533-position model. The record is from RNAcentral.